UUUUGUUCCUUACAGAGACUCUGUCCUCACCUGGCUUCUCAAGGACAACCUGGGUGGCAACAGUAAGACGUGUAUGAUCGCCACGGUGAGCCCAGCAGCUGAUAACUACGAGGAGACGUUGUCCACGCUGCGUUACGCAGACCGCGCCAAGAGGAUCGUCAACCACGCCGUCGUCAAUGAAGACCCCAACGCACGGAUCAUCAGAGAGCUCCGGGAGGAAGUGGAGAAACUCAGAGUACAGCUCUCUCAGGCUGAGUCUCUAAAGGCUCCAGAGCUAGAAGGAG
Oncorhynchus keta (chum salmon) is the source of this 284-nucleotide long non-coding RNA. RefSeq lists it as uncharacterized. The transcript has 3 exons. Lineage: Eukaryota; Metazoa; Chordata; Actinopteri; Salmoniformes; Salmonidae. The record is from RefSeq and is a predicted model, not a curated record.